RNA transcript from Leptopilina heterotoma, 4029 nucleotides. RefSeq lists it as uncharacterized. The transcript has 4 exons. Lineage: Eukaryota; Metazoa; Arthropoda; Insecta; Hymenoptera; Figitidae. The record is from RefSeq and is a predicted model, not a curated record.
CUUCUUUUAAUCUAUAAUUUUUUAUUGGUCGACAGUACAUAAAAAUUAGAAAUAUUUUUAAAGUAUAAUAUUCAAGGUGAACAGUAAUAAUGUUCCAACAUUACGCAAUAUUUUUAUACGUUGCAUUAUUUUCUUAGGACGUGGCAUUCAGAUUGAAACAAAUAAAGUUAGCUGAUUGUUCUUUUGUUUUAAAUAUACAAAUAAGUUCGACGGCGAGACGGACAUUGAAAAAAAACAGAAAACAGUUAAUACAACCUAUCAUUUAUCAAUCAUGAUCAGAAUAGCAAUAAUCUGCUUACUAAUUUCAAUGACCAGAAGCCGAAAAUGCGAGUUCAGUAUUGAGGAGGUGAAUGAAUUAAAACAAGCUUUUGUUGAUGCGGGUAAGCAAAUGGAAAUAGAAUCUCGAGGUGGAAGGAAAAAUGCGGCAAUUGUCAUAGGAACCGCAAUGAGUGGAAAAAGUACACUAAUUAAUUACUUAAUAGGCAAUCAAAUGGAAGGUUACAGAGGGUCUAGUCGAUAUGAUCGAAUAAUAAUAAGAAAAUUUGACGUAAAUUCUACAGGACCAGAAAUUAGUAGUGGAUUAUUGCCAGUGACUAAUAUUCCCUCAAAAUGGAACUCAAAAAGGACAGAAUUACAGAAUUUGACAAUCUGGAAUACUCCUGGAUUUCAGGACAUUAGAGGCCCACUUCAAGAUUUAAAAAAUUCUUUUUAUCUGUACCGUUUGACAAGAAGAAUGAAAUCUGUAAAAUUUAUUUUAGUUGUUAACUUCUAUGACAUUGAAAGUGAUAUCAACGAAAAUUUUAUUAGUCUUUUAAAUAAUCUUGAAAAAUUUUUCAAUGGCAAGUUUAAAAAUUUUUUUUCAAGUAUAUCAGUAAUUUUCUCAAAAGCACCUUACAAUUUUCGUGAAUUUCCAAUCCGUUAUGAAUACAUAAACAACAAAUUAAACAAUUUAUUAUCACAAUCAAGAACUGAAUUUAAUCUAUCUAAUGAUUCAAAAGACUUUAUACAACAUGUAGUAAAUCAUAACAAGCAAGUUGCCUUCUUUAGGAACGCAGAAGUCAUAGGUAAAGUGAAUUCUUCUAUCGAUGAAAAUAUUAUUCAAGCUAUUAGAAACACCAGAAGCAUAAACAAGAAAUCUCUCCAGGAUGUAUCUUUCUCAUUUUCAGCAGGAGCAGAAGUUUGCUUGCGUGAUACCGAAGAUUUAUUGUUUCAAAAUUCAGAUAUAAAAAAAUUAAAUGUUAGAAUAAAGAAAUUCUUCAUUGAAAAGUCAAAUUAUUUGUUGAAAAUCGGAAACCGUGACAUAAAUAAAUUAAAUGAAUAUAAAAUCUAUUUAAGUAAAAUGGGCGAAAAUAUUAGUCCUGCUUUAAAUAAAAAUUCUGAUAUACAGGUUAAAAUUCAAAGCUUGAAAGGAAUUGAUUAUAGUUUGCAAAAAUUAAUUAUGGAGCAAAAUUAUGCGAAUAAAAUAAAACUAAUUAAAUUUAGUGCUUUUAUAUUAAGAUCAAGUAAAAUAUUAAUAUUAAAUUACUUAUUUGAUGCUCUUCUCAAUGUUGCACAUGCAAAAAUCAAGAAAUUAAUUCCAUUAUCUUUACUGCUGAUGAAAAACAUUACAACAAAUACUUAUGAUAAAGUAAUUACAGAUGUGAACAAGUCGUCUCAAAGAAAAAUUAGAGAUUUAUCAGAAAAAACACAAAACCUGGAAAAAUCUGAAACAAAGAAAGGCUUUUGGGAAUUUAUUUUUCAACAAUGUGCAGACGUUAUUUAAGUUUCACCUGGGUUUUAAGCGGCAGCUCGGGGACAUUGAAUACCAACAGAAAAGCGUUACAACUUAUCAUUUAUCAAUCAUGAUCAGAAUAGCAAUAAUCCGCUUAUUAAUUUCAAUGACCAGAAGCCGAAAAUGCGAGUUCAGUAUUGAUGAGGUGAAUGAAUUAAAACAAGCUUUUGUUGAUGCGGAUAAGCAAAUGGAAAUAGAAUCUCGAGGCAGCCAAUUGCUUCUUAUUUCUGCAUAAUUUUUUCAAAUCGUGCGCUAUUGAUAAUUUACACUGCUUAUGGUAGUUUACUUUAGUUGCUAACAGAUGGGCAUUAUUGCUGCAGCAGUUUAGCAAUGACAGUAUCAUUUAUGAAAACAGACUUUUUGGAUGUAACUUUUCUAAGAGUUAUUUUGGUGAUUUUAGUUAAUAGAGUUACACGAAUAAAAUUCUUGUAAAGUGAUUUUUAAUGCAGAAUUUAGUGCUGAAGACGAUGGUGUUAAUGAAAUUGCGAUAUUUUUAAUAUUACGGGUUUUGUGGAUGUUUUCUUAAAAAAGUACUCUUAGGGUUAGGCAGCCAACACUAAAUUUUUCGCCUUUUUGUGUUGACUUUAUUGGUUCUUCUAAAUGUUUUCUCUUUUUUUCCUACUCCAAUACAUUUUAAACUUAACAUUGAAUUUUAGGAACCAUUUUUUAAGAAUAACAAAUUUAUAUUUCCUUAAAAUGUUAAAUUGAAUUUAAUUAAUGUUAUUAUUAUAAUAUAAUUCAAAUGUAAAUUUUUGAAGUUUACCAACAAAAUAAAAGUAAGUCUUGGCUGCCUCGCCCCGUUCUCCUCUACACUAAUUAAUUACUUAAUGGGCAAUCAACUGGCAGGUUACAGAGGGUCUAGUCGAUAUGAUUGAAUAAUAAUAAGAAAAUUUGACGUAAAUUCUACAGGACCAGAAAUUAGUAGUGGAUUAUUGCCAGUGACUAAUAUUCCCUCAAAAUGGAACUCAAAAAGGACAGAAUUACAGAAUUUGACAAUCUGGAAUACUUCUGGAUUUCAGGACAUUAGAGGCCCACUUCAAGAUUUAAAAAAUUCUUUUUAUCUGUACCGUUUGACAAGAAGAAUGAAAUCUGUAAAAUUCAUUUUAGUUGUUAACUUCUAUGACAUUGAAAGUGAUAUCAUAGAAAAUUUUCUAAGUCUUUUGAAGAAUCUGGAAAAGUUUUUCAAUGGCAAGUUUAACAAAAUUUUUCCAAGUAUAUCAGUAAUUUUCUCAAGAGCACCUUACAAUCUCCGUGGAUUUCCAAUCCGUUAUGAAUACAUAAACAACCAAUUAAACAAUUUAUUAUCACAAUCAAGAACUGAAUUUAAUCUAUCUAAAGAUUCAAAAGACUUUAUACAACAUGUAGUAAAUCAUAACAAUCGAGUUGCCUUCUUUAGGAACGCAGAAGUCAUAGGUAAAGUGAAUUCUUCUAUCGAUGAAAAUAUUAUUCAAGCUAUUAGAAACACCAGAAACAUAAACAAUACAUCUCUCUAGGAUGUAGGUUUCUCCUUGUCAGCAAAAACAGAAGUGUGCUUGUAUAGUACCAUGGACGUAUUGUUUUCAAAUACAGAAAUAAAUAUAUUAAAUGAUAGAGUACAGAAAUUCUUCAAUGAAAAGUCAAAUGAUUUGUUGAAUAUCGGAGGCCGUAACAUAGAAAAAUUAAAGGAAACUAAACUCUAUUUUAGAAACAUGCACAGAAACAUUCGUACUAGUGUUAAUAAUAAUGAUUCUGAUAUACAGGUUAAAAUUAAAAUUUUGGAAGGAAUUGAUUUUAGUUUGAAAAAGUUAAUUGUGAAGAAAAAUUAUGCGAAUAAAAUAAAACUAAUUAAAUUUAGUGCUUUUAUAUUAAAGUCAAAUAAAAUAUUAAUAUUAAAUUACGGAUUUGAAGCUCUUGUCAAUGUUGCAUAUACAAAGAUCAAGACAUUAAUUUUAUUAUGUUUGCUGCUGAUGAAAAACAUUACGAAGAAUACUUAUGAUAAAAUAAUUACAGUUGUCAACAUCUCGUCUCGAAAGAAAAUUAGAGAUUUGUCAGAAAAAAUACAAAACCUUAAAAAAUCUGAAACGAAGAGAGGCUUUGGGGAAAUUAUCUAUUAAUACUAUGCAGACGUUAUUAAAGCAUCUCCUGCGUUUUAAAAGCCGUGAAUCGACUGUCUAAAAACGAAUGACAUUCAUUUCUAAAAACAUAAUAAUUAUUUAACUGUUUUCAUGUCAAAAAUUAACAAAAUUCAAUAAUAAAUACAUUACAGCAUUUUUCAGAAA